AAUCUCAAGGUUAUUUGUUUCUUCAGACAUAAUGAACCACCACCACCAUUUCGUUCCUGACUUCGAGGCCGAUGAUGAUUAUGUCAACGCUAACACAAACUCUUCUUCUUCAAAUCUUCCUAGAAAACCCAUCAUGUAAGUAAGUUUUCACCUUUUUUUAUUAUUUAUUUAAUUUAUGUUGAGAUAUGUUUUUGAUCUGUGAUUAAUAAUACAGAGGGGAAGAAGAAGAUGGUGAUCUCAUGGAGCUUCUAUGGCACAACGGUCAGGUGGUUCUCCAAAAUCAAAGACCAAACACCAAGAAACAACCUCCUUCUUCUUCUUCUUCCUCUGCUC
Molecule: long non-coding RNA, 333 nt
Filed under: Brassica rapa (field mustard)
Lineage: Eukaryota; Viridiplantae; Streptophyta; Magnoliopsida; Brassicales; Brassicaceae
Description: long non-coding RNA (BRAP_LNC004785)
Source: RNAcentral